RNAcentral lists this ribosomal RNA (256 nucleotides) under uncultured archaeon. RNAcentral describes it as "partial 16S ribosomal RNA". It matches the Rfam family "Bacterial small subunit ribosomal RNA", at positions 521 to 776 of the family's 1533-position model. The record is from RNAcentral.
UAAUACGGAGGGAGCUAGCGUUGUUCGGAAUUACUGGGCGUAAAGCGCGCGUAGGCGGUUUUUUAAGUCAGGGGUGAAAGCCCGGAGCUCAACUCCGGAAUAGCCUUUGAAACUGGAAAACUUGAAUCUUGGAGAGGUCAGUGGAAUUCCGAGUGUAGAGGUGAAAUUCGUAGAUAUUCGGAAGAACACCAGUGGCGAAGGCGACUGACUGGACAAGUAUUGACGCUGAGGUGCGAAAGCGUGGGGAGCAAACAGG